GCUUACGGCCAUACCACCCUGAACACGCCGAUCUGUCCGAUCUCGGAAGCUAAGCAGGGUCGGGCCUGGUUAGUACUUGGAUGGGAGACCGCCUGGGAAUACCAGGUGCUGUAAGCU
Molecule: ribosomal RNA, 117 nt
Filed under: Labrus bergylta (ballan wrasse)
Lineage: Eukaryota; Metazoa; Chordata; Actinopteri; Labriformes; Labridae
Source: RNAcentral